This 253-nucleotide ribosomal RNA is filed under the name uncultured bacterium. RNAcentral's name for it is "partial 16S ribosomal RNA". It matches the Rfam family "Bacterial small subunit ribosomal RNA", at positions 524 to 776 of the family's 1533-position model. The record is from RNAcentral.
UACGAAGGGGGCUAGCGUUGUUCGGAAUUACUGGGCGUAAAGCGCGCGCAGGCGGCUAUCCAAGUCAGUGGUGAAAGCCCGGAGCUCAACUCCGGAACUGCCAUUGAAACUGUUUAGCUUGAGGACGAGAGAGGUGAGUGGAAUUCCCAGUGUAGAGGUGAAAUUCGUAGAUAUUGGGAAGAACACCGAUGGCGAAGGCAGCCAUCUGGACCGACACUGACGCUGAGGCGCGAAAGCGUGGGGAGCAAACAGG